RNAcentral lists this ribosomal RNA (254 nucleotides) under uncultured bacterium. RNAcentral's name for it is "partial 16S ribosomal RNA". It matches the Rfam family "Bacterial small subunit ribosomal RNA", at positions 524 to 776 of the family's 1533-position model. The record is from RNAcentral.
UACGUAGGGUGCGAGCGUUGUCCGGAAUUAUUGGGCGUAAAGAGCUCGUAGGCGGUGUGUCACGUCGGCCGUGAAAACCUGCAGCUUAACUGUGGGCGUGCGGUCGAUACGGGCAUCACUGGAGUUCGGCAGGGGAGACGGGAAUUCCUGGUGUAGCGGUGAAAUGCGCAGAUAUCAGGAGGAACACCGGUGGCGAAGGCGGGUCUCUGGGCCGAUACUGACGCUGAGGCACGAAAGCGUGUGGAGCAAACAGG